This 6194-nucleotide long non-coding RNA is filed under the name Sus scrofa (pig). RNAcentral's name for it is "lncRNA (ENSSSCG00005003021.1)". Lineage: Eukaryota; Metazoa; Chordata; Mammalia; Artiodactyla; Suidae. The record is from RNAcentral.
UCUGGAUUCUGCUGGUCAGCAAACCUUCCUCGACAGCCCACUCUGUGCCAGCUCAGGCCCAGGCCCUCCACCUGUGUGGAGGUGGACUAGAGGGAGGAGAUCUCACAUAGAAAUCCAGGUAGGGGCAACAGGAGCCCAGCAGAGCUGCGUGCCUUUGGCAGGAGUAUGGGUUUGUGCAGAGGCCGGGGCCUGGCUGAUGACUUUUUCAGACUCUCCCAGCCCUAUUAGCCCAAGUCUUCGGGUCAGUGUGGCGGAGGUGUUGAGGUAGUCUUGAGGAACUGCAUGUUCCUGGCAGACUGUGGACAGACAGCCUGGAGGUUACCCCUGUCCGGUAAGAUCACGUGGUCUUAUCAAGUCCAAGUGUGUAUGUCGCUCUGCACCUGAGCACAGAGGCCAAGGUUGAUGAUAGUUCUCAGGGCCCCCAGUCCUGGCUGGCUGCACAUAUAACCCGCCAUCUCUCGCAGCCUCCUGCAGAUUUAAGAAUAUUGUCCCCAAACCAGCCAAAAAAAUAGAGCAGCCUGAUCCUCCAGGUUGAGAAUUCCCAGGCUUGGGGAGGGGGCUGCCUUUAUGUCUUUUCGACUUUGCAAAUUUAAUUUCUUCUGAUUAUUUCUUGACAGUCCCAGGCGUUGGUGGUAAACAACCGCUCUCCCCAGAAUGUUUCCCUGUGACAGCAGCUUUCUCUGGAGAGAGUGCUAUCAACACUUGGCAGGGCCUCCUCCCAGCUCCCGGCUCCCGGCUCCCGGCUCCCAGCUCGGGCUCCUGAGAAAGGAGAGCUUCUGAAAGGUGUUCAAGAAUGUGAUGCUCUCCUGGUGUGCCGGGGGUGCAGGUUGAGGGUGGGCAUGGGCUAGCCUCUUUGUUCCUCCCCGUGGCCAGCUGCCCAGCCUGGCCUGAGAGCCUUAAAUGGCCCCUGGCUGUGGAUGGUCCCCAAGUGGAGAGAUGGGGUGGUAUCGGGUGUCCGCUGGCUCCCGCAGCCCUGGUGCCCUGGUGCUUGGCACAGCUCAGCGACAGGAGGGAGCCCAUCUCCUGAGGACAGCUCUGCCAGGCCUGUCUGUGCCCGGGAGACCAGCAGUGUCCCGCCCUGCAGCUUCUGUGGUCUGCGUCACGCGCUGGCUUAGGUGUCCUGAGUCAGAGCCAGGAAAUGGAUCUGCCAAGCGGGGGUGGAGAUGCCACUGCCCCGGGCAGCUGGGGUGAACCCCAAUCUGCCUGUCCAUGCUGAGGGGGACCUGUCCUCGCAUAUCCCUCCCUGGCCUUUUGACCAGUGCAUGGAGGAGAGGCUGAGAUGACAGCAGGCUCCCUGCUCCAAAAACUGUUCCCCAGCCCCUGACCCCACAAGGCCAUAACUACAGGGCCGUUGACAGGAUGCAGCAUUCAGAUCGGGCACAACGAAGCUGCUGGGCCUCUGCCAGGGCUGUACCGAUUUUCUGGAAUGCCCUUCCUGGACUUCUGCUCUGGGAAGAAUUUACCCAAGAGUGACUUCUUUGGCAAAGCCUUUCCUGGCAGCUCCUCCUCCAGCCGAAGCUGUCCCCUUUUCCUCUGAGCCACCCUCUGACAACCUCCUUUUCGGCUCCUAUCACAGUGUCGUGUAAUCACGUUUUCCUGCAAAGGGCUCGAACAUUUGCCUGCCUGAGUGCUUUGAGACUUAUUUAUCAGUGCACCUCGCCUACCUGGUGUAUACUGGACGCUCCAUAAAAGCAGGCUGGAUUUAAUGAAGGAGGUUCCUGGAGGUGGGGUCAGAGUCUCCCUUUGUUAGUGACGUGGUAAAGAUGGGGUGGGGGGUUGCCAGCAGGGAGACUGACCUCCCCCACCAGAUCCCCUUCGAAGCCUCUGCCCAGGUAAUUGCUGGGGGCUGCAGCGGCCCCCUCCCCGUUUCCACGCAGGCAGUACCUUCCUUGCCAGCGGGAGUCGGCUCCCUGGGCUGCUCGUGUGAUCACUCUCCAGAAAACACCCCAGUGGAAACUGCAUGAAUGAUUGAUAAGAGCUGAGAGCUGUUUAAUUUUUCCCCCUGUUUAAUGGCUAUCAAUAAUUUAAUACGCUCUCUGUAUGUUUUUAAGAAAUAGCACCCAUUUUGCCGUCUCCGGUUUAGCGGGCUAAAUGAUUUAAGUGUUGGAAAUGUGCUCUGAGGAUGGAGGUUGAGAGUCGGAGGAAUCUGGAGGCUGGGGGUGGGGGAGGUGGGUUCAGAGCCAGCCAGCAGCAUCUUGGCCUGUGUGUGUGUGUGUGUGUGUGUGUGUGUGUGUGUGUGAAGGUGGGAGGGAGGGGGCGGGUAAAAGCCAGUGCCUUUCUGCUAAGAGCAAGAUAAUUGCUUUUCCGGGUCUCACUGAGCAGCAGCUGAACAGCUGUCAACUUACCCCUCCCCAGUGCUGAGCUUUUCUGGAUGACUCUGGGGGGCCCCGGGGGCUAGGAGGGAGCCGCUGCUGGUACCACCGUGGACUGAGCACCACCCUCCCCCUGACAGCUCUGCCCCCUCCUAAAGCUUUUAAAUCAUUUUUAUUUGAGCGAUGCAGUUAUUCUGCUGCCAGCCGUGUCUUCCAGAUAGCGUAGGGGUGGGUGUGGAGUGGGGGCGCGCUCAGAAUCACUAAUCUCGGGGCCCAAAGGGACCUGGAAGGUCAUUUGCCAGUGCUCCCCCAAACUUUCCAGAUGCACAGGAUCACCUGGGAGGACUUGUUAAAAAUUUAAAUUUCUGGGCUACAUUCCAGAGCCGCAGACUUCCAUUCUCUGGGGAGAGGCCUGGAAAGCUGUGGGUUUAACAAGAGCCCAGGUGAUUCUUAUCAUCAGAAGAGUUUGGGAAAUACGGGGUUCAGCUCCAGUUCUGAUGCGUCCAGUGCCCACAGUGCCACAUGGCCACUGCCUCUGCUUGCACACCUGUGGGGACGAGGCCCUUGCCAUUUGGUGAGACCACACUCCUACCUGAGGAAGGUGUGGCCCAGUUGGGAGCUCUUUCUGAUGUGAGGCUGGACCUGCCGGCUGCCCUCCCCUGCUCCUUAUGUGGACUCACCUCUGCUACAGGACAGACCCCCUCUCCUGGGGCCUGGCGUCCCGCCCUCUCCCAUCCCAGCCACCCUCUGGCUUUUCUGUGCCUCUCUGUUGGACGAGGAGCUUCCUUUCUUAGCAAAGGAAUCUGGGUACCAGAAAAAGCAUGUGGGUGGGGAUGGACUCUCCCCUCCAGGCCUGAGUGCCGCUUCCCAGGGGCAAGCUAGGUGACAUGGCUGGCCUGUGGUGGAUUGCAGUGGGCACAUCAGCCUCCUUCUGGCAGGCACCAUCGCCGGCCCAGUGAGGAUUCUGAGGGAGGCAGAAAGAUUCCUGAGCCUCAGAACCGCCUUGGCCUAUCAGGGGCCUGUCUUCCCACAGGAGAGACAAGUGUGACUCAUCAGAGACUGGUGACUAAGCUCAUCACUGGGAUGAGAGUGGAGGAGCUGAGGCCAGAGGGGGCUCUGUGGAGGACAGAACCGGAACUGCUAAGAUGGGGCAAGGGUCCAGAGAGGGCCCCCCAGGACUGAGGCCCUGGCGCCAGGGGUCAGCUGAGACCCCAGUCACUGAGGGCAGAAGGCAGCCAGGGGAGAGCUUCCACCUUCUUGCUUGGUCCUGAUGCAGAUGACUCAGUACAUGGAAGGAUUUUAGCAGAGCUGAUGCCCCGUCCAUCUGAUCAAACAACUCUUUCUUUGCUUUGGCAAUUUGCAUUGUUUCAGCAGAGAUGCAGUACUGCAUGCCGGUUGGACUGGCUAUUUUAUUUUAAUAGACAAUUAAGAAGAAAGGAGUGAUACCCUUUUACAGGUGUCAUCAUCUGCCUCCAAAUGGGGGACUCCUUUAGCCCUCCCCUUCUUCGUAGACCUUCUUUGCACCCCCAGGUUCAGCCCUGCCCUUAGUCUGUGUGGGAGAAGCCCAGGUCCCAGGAGGUGCUGACAUACGACCCAUCUUGUGAUCAUCAGGCGCCCCUGUGCCCCUUCAUCCCUGAAGCCUUCUCUCAUCAUCACAGCAUCACUGUGGGAGUCCCAACCCUAGGGGAGUAGGAAGAGGGGUGCCAUCUAAUCCUGACAGGACCCCUAUUUGGAGAGUUCCAAAAGCUGGGGAGACUGAAGGGAAAGACUUAACCCUGUGCUCAGAAAGACUCAGCUCUAGAGAGAGCACUAUGUGACUAUGGAUACUCAGGCAUGACCCUGGCAGUCAUGGAAGGCUUCCAGGAGGAAGUGCUGCCCACCUUCAGGCUUGAAGUAUGCCCGGGAGGAAGGGGAGAGGCAUUCCAGGUGCCCAGGUUUGAGGCAGUGUCUGUGACUGUGCUGAGAGCAGUAAGGUGAGGCCAGCAGGGCAGGGGCUGGGCUAGAGAGGUGGGCAGGCCAGGGUGGGGCUGGAUCUGGUCUGCCUGGGCUGAGAGCCACCAAAGGUUUAUUUGUGUUUGUUUUUAGCUUUGGUUGAAGCAUUACAUCCAUGCAGGAAAAGUGUGCACAGCCUAAGUGUAGCUUGACGAAUUGUCACAAAAUGAAUAUACUUAAGUAAUCACACUACAGAUCAAGAAACAGAACAUUCCAGAUCCCUUAGAACUCCCCUGCCCCCACCACGUACCUCCUUGCAGUCACUGUUCCCCCUCAAGGAUGAAGACUUCAUUAUCCUUACAUUAUCAAGAGCACAUGAUCAGUUAUCUAUUGUUGCCCAAAAAGCCACCCCAACACUUAGAGGCUUAAAACAAACAACCACCACCAUGUAUCAUGUCUCCUAAUUCUGUGGUUUCCCUGGGCAGUCCCUCUGCUGGUUUCCCUUGGGCUCAUGUGACUCCAGUCACCUGAAGGGCCGGCUGGACCAGAUGGUUGAAGAUGGCCUCAGUCACAGCUGGCAGUUGGUGCUGGCUGUUGACUGGGCAGCCUCAGUUCUCCUCCAUUCUCCAGUAACGUAGACCAGCUUCCUUCUGUGGACAGACUGCAGUCCAAGAGGGCAGGAUCCCUUGAGACCUGGGCUCUGUAAGUCACAAAAUACCACCUUUGCCAAGUCCUUUUGCUCACAUCAGGUCUCAAGGCCAGCCUGGAUUCAGGGGUGGAGGGUAGACUCCACCUCGUGAUGGAAGGAGCCACAAAGAAUCUGUGGCCAUAAAGAAUCUGUGGCCAUGUGCAAUUAGUCUGCCACAAGCAUAAAGUAGUAGUUUUGCUUGUCCUUGACCUUUUUCUGAAUGGACCCCUUAAAUGUGUUCUCCAUUGCGUCUGGCUUUUUUGGUCAACAUUGUGUUUGUAAGACUUGUCUGUAUUUUUGGAUACAGUUGCAGAUUAUUUGUUCUCAUUGCUGUGUGAUGUUCCAUUGUGUGGAUACACUGAUUUAUCCAUUCUACGGUUGAUGGCCAUUUGGAAGUUUUCAUUUUUUGGCACUUAUGAAUAGCAGCACUGUGAGCAUUCUAGGAUACAUCUUUGGGUGACCAUAUUGCACACACGUCUAUGGAGGUGGAAAUGCUAAGUUGCUGCUAGAGUAAUAUUAGGUGAUACUUCCAAAUCCUUCUCCAAGGUGGUGACCGGUGCAUCCCCUACCAGCAGUGUUUGGGAGGCCCAAAGGGGCUUUACGGAAUGGAGUAAGAUUGCCAGCGGGGGUUUUGGGAAGGCCCCCCAGCAGAAAAUGGGCUAGAGGGGUACCUCUAACCCUAGAAGUCCCUGUAAUGUCCCCUCUCUGCCUGCCUCUAGCCUUAGACCUCCAGGCUGAGAAAGGAGGGCCAUCAGGUCAGAUGACCCUGUUUUGAGUGUCAUUGCUCCCAUGCUCCUUUUCCCAUCCCAAGUCCCUCCUCCCACUGCCCUCUUCCAUUUACCCAGAGGUUCCCACGCUAGCCUGAUCCCCCACCUUCAGGGAAACUGGGUGCCGAAAAGAGCUGACACGUGAGGACGCAGGAGCUGGGAGGGACUCUGCCAUGGCAGCCUCCAUCCGUGACAGCACUGGGCAGUGGGCAAGACCGGGAGACUUGGGUUCCACUUCUGGCCUUGCCUCUCUCUUUGCCUGUCAGGGCCUCAGAUUCCUCAUUUACAACUUGGCAGAAAAGAGAGUUAACCUGGAGUUCCCGUUGUGGUUCAGUGGUUAACGAACCCAACUAGGAACGAUGAGGUUGAGGGUUCGAUCCCUGGCCUUGCUCAGUUGGUUAAGGAUCCGGCAUUGCCAUGAACUGUGGUGUAGGUCACAGACCCGGCUCAGAUCCCGCGUUGCUGUGGCAUGGGCCAGCGGCAACAGCUCCGAUU